GCGGACGUGGCGAAAUGGCAGACGCGCAAGCUUCAGGAGCUUGUGGGAGCAAUCCCGUGAGAGUUCAAGUCUCUCCGUCCGCA
This 83-nucleotide transfer RNA is filed under the name bacterium. Its description in RNAcentral is "tRNA-Leu". It matches the Rfam family "tRNA". Rfam says of the family: Transfer RNA (tRNA) molecules are approximately 80 nucleotides in length. Their secondary structure includes four short double-helical elements and three loops (D, anti-codon, and T loops). The record is from RNAcentral.